UAUUAAAGUGGCAGAUUUAAAUGCAAUGGAUUUAAGCUCCUUUUAUGAAUUAUUCCUUUAAUAA
Molecule: transfer RNA, 64 nt
Filed under: Proknekalia peringueyi
Lineage: Eukaryota; Metazoa; Arthropoda; Arachnida; Ixodida; Argasidae
Description: Argas peringueyi tRNA-Leu
Source: RNAcentral